RNAcentral lists this ribosomal RNA (848 nucleotides) under Sordariomycetes sp. genotype 32. RNAcentral describes it as "eukaryotic LSU rRNA". The stretch from base 334 to 848 matches the Rfam family "Eukaryotic large subunit ribosomal RNA", at positions 1 to 528 of the family's 3401-position model. The record is from RNAcentral. Lineage: Eukaryota; Fungi; Ascomycota; Sordariomycetes.
UAUAAAACAAAUAAGUUAAAACUUUCAACAACGGAUCUCUUGGUUCUGGCAUCGAUGAAGAACGCAGCGAAAUGCGAUAAGUAAUGUGAAUUGCAGAAUUCAGUGAAUCAUCGAAUCUUUGAACGCACAUUGCGCCCGGUAGUACUCUACCGGGCAUGCCUGUUCGAGCGUCAUUUCAACCCUCAAGCCCUGCUUGGUGUUGGGGCCCUACGGCUGCCGUAGGCCCUGAAAGGAAGUGGCGGGCUCGCUACAACUCCGAGCGUAGUAAUUCAUUAUCUCGCUAGGGAGGUUGCGGCGUGCUCCUGCCGUUAAAGACCCAUCUUUAACCAAGGUUGACCUCGGAUCAGGUAGGAAUACCCGCUGAACUUAAGCAUAUCAAUAAGCGGAGGAAAAGAAACCAACAGGGAUUGCCCUAGUAACGGCGAGUGAAGCGGCAACAGCUCAAAUUUGAAAUCUGGCUUCGGCCCGAGUUGUAAUUUGUAGAGGAUGCUUUUGGUGAGGUGCCUUCUGAGUUCCCUGGAACGGGACGCCAGAGAGGGUGAGAGCCCCGUAUAGUCGGCCACCGAUCCUUUGUAAAGCUCCUUCGACGAGUCGAGUAGUUUGGGAAUGCUGCUCAAAAUGGGAGGUAUAUCUCUUCUAAAGCUAAAUAUAGGCCAGAGACCGAUAGCGCACAAGUAGAGUGAUCGAAAGAUGAAAAGCACUUUGAAAAGAGGGUUAAAUAGCACGUGAAAUUGUUGAAAGGGAAGCGCUUGUGACCAGACUUGUGCCGGGCUGAUCAUCCAGUGUUCUCACUGGUGCACUCGACCCGGCUCAGGCCAGCGUCGGUUUUCGUGGGGGGAUAAAAGCUU